Molecule: long non-coding RNA, 8184 nt
Filed under: Cicer arietinum (chickpea)
Lineage: Eukaryota; Viridiplantae; Streptophyta; Magnoliopsida; Fabales; Fabaceae
Description: long non-coding RNA (CARI_LNC000064)
Source: RNAcentral
UAAUAAGUGGAGAAAGACAACUUGUCUUUAUAGCAACUCUGUAGUUGCAAUUCAAUUUAUCCAAAUUCUGAAACAUGCAUAUAUAUACAAAUCAUAUACAUAGCCUCUUAUUUAAUAUUUAAUAAACUUUCAUUUUUAAAAUGUGUAGUGACUACAAGGGCAUUGAUGAAACUAAAGCACAGUUUCCCAACCCUAAAUUUUUGGCAGCAAACAAAGAGGCCACUAAUCAAAAGCUAUAACUAAACAAUUCAAUUAAACGAUAUAAAUUCUUAUAUUUAAGUUAUACUUUUAUUAAAAAGAUAAAAUAAAACUAAUGUUAGGUAAAUUAUAAGUUGUUUUUAUAAAUUACACCGAGGAGUUUAUGAAAAAAUAAAAAAUAACUUAUAGACAUAUUAUAAUUAUUUUCUUACAUUCUCUCAAAUAAUAUCACACAUUGAUUCUAUGUAAUAAUAUAAAAUAGGCUAAAUUACAUCUGUGGUCCCUUAACUUAAUUUCAGGUAACGUUUUAGUCAUUUAUCUUUUUUUUUUCUUCCCGAUUUAGUCCUUUAUUCCUAACAAUAUUAAAUAAAGUAUGAAAAUAUGAGUUUAUUUGAAGAUUUGCGUUACGAAUUUGAUGAAAUUUGUAUUAUAUUGAAGAAUAUAAUUAAUUUUAUGAGUUUUGAUUGAAUUUUUUUUUUUGAAUUUUUGUAUAAAAAAGGAUAACAUUGUUGAAAUUUUAAAACAUAAAAUAUCAAAUUGUCACUUAAAAUUAAAAUAAAUGACCAAGUCGGGAAAAAAAAAAGAUAAAGGACUAAAAUGUUACUUGAAAUUAAGUUAAGGGACCACGAAUGUAAUUUAGCCUAUAAAAUAAGUCAAUAUAAACAAAUUUAUAUUGUGUGCAUAACUAACUUAAUUAAAAACGUAUAACAUGAUUGUUUAUCAUUUAAAUAUUUAUAUAUAAACAAUUUAUGUAAUAAAAGAUAAUAUAAAUUAAAUGUUUUUAAAUAAACAAUUUAAUAUAAGAUGUUUUCAUAUUCUAUUCUUGAUAACUUAUAAAAAUAGGCUAAAAUUAGUUUAUGAAAAAUGCAUAAGUUGUUUAUUCUCCCUCUAAUAAAACUAACAACCACUCCCAAGUUGAAGCUGAGUUAACUAAAAUGGUAUUUGAGUGUUAGUGUUAAUAUUUUCAAAAAAUAAAAUAGAGAAAAUAAUAUAAAAUUAAGUUACUUGUGGCUGGGUAGUGUCAAGCGCCGAAGAUCGGUUGAUUCGAGAUUCAAGCCAAGUGAACAAUGUUGGUGUUGCAUGAGACAAAAUAAAAAUUAGGGAGAAUGUGAGGAUUAAGGUAAGAACUUUCAUGAUUUUAUUAACCUCUUUUGUUUGCAUUAAAGAGAAGGGAUGGAGGAAUACCUAACUGAUUUUAGAUAUUGUUGAAUUUUGUAGAGUGCCCUAAUAGAUACAUGAGAUUAUCAAUAUUUUAAAAAAAUCUAUGACUCUAUAAAAAUAUUAUUUAUAUAGUCUUUUUAUAAUAUAUGGUAAACUAUAUGAGACAAAUUGUAAAUUCGAUACUAAUGUCGGACAUUAAAUUGAUUGUAAGUUGUUAACUAAAAUGGUAUUUGGGUGUUAGUGUUAAUAUUUUUAUAUUGGGAUGAUCAGUUAAACUUCAAGAAAAUUUUUCAAUACUCAAACAAAGCUUUUUCAAGUUCAAUAUAAGCAGAAAACCAAUUAUGCUAAGUCAAACACUUAAAUUACAUGAACUUAGUAUAAAAUACUAAGAUCAAGCUAAAUAUAAGCAGGAAAAUAAGUAUAAGCAGAAAAUCAAAUACAAUUCAAGCUAAAUAUGAAAAUGCUCAAUUCUAGCAGAUCAAACAAUAAAAUUACAUGAACUCAGUUCAGAUUAUAUGGCUUAUAUAAAACAAUUAAACACAUUAAGAUGUCAUUCUUCUUUUCCUGGUGGGAUUCACAUUUGUUUGUCCAUUAACGAUACAAAACGAUUGAUUAAUCCAAAUUCCCUCAUCAUGAUCAUCUCUAAGAUAUAAACCAUCAUCAAUUGAAUCAAUUUCAUGUGGUUGUGAGGGUUAUGACAACGUAUUAAAUUUGUUUUUAUUUAUUUAAAGUGAAUGAUUUUUAUUUAAAGCGCAAGCCUUUUACAACAUUUGUAUAAAAAACAUUCUAAUAGGUCAUUUAAUUAUAUGAAAGCGCAUGAAUUUUACAGCGCUUUCACAAAAAGCGCUUUAAAAGACAUGUAACAUAAGAUGAGAGCGCUACAUUUUACAGCGCUUGUGUUUAAAGCGCUCAAAAAGCGCUGUAAAAGCUAUGGGAGAGCGCUUCAAUCUACAUCACUUUUAAGUUACGGGAGAGCGCUUCAAUUUACAGCGCUUUUAAAAAAAGCGCUGUAAAAGGGUUGUAAACAUUAUGUGCAAGCGUUAUGUGACCCUACAACAACACUUGUCAAAAAAGCGUUGUUGUAUCCUUCAUUAUUUUUAAAAAAUUUUACAACAGCACUUGUAUUUAAUAAACGCCGUAAAAAAGCGCGCUAUAAUAUGUCUAUUUUUGGCAUAGUGACUCAUAUACAUAGCCUCUUAUUUAAUAUGUAAUCAAACAUGAAAUCCAUUUGAGUACAUAAAACUUUCAUGUAAAAAAUGUGUAGCAACUACACUUCAAAAGGGUAUUGAUGAAAUUGAAGCAUCAUUUUCCAACGUAAAUUUUUGCAGAAACAAAAAGGGCACUAACGAAAAACUACUAUUAAACAGAUUGUCCGUUUUGUUUAUAAUAAAUUAUAUCAAAGAGUUUAUAAAAAUAAAUUAAAAAUAUUUAUAAAAAUCAUAACUUUUUAUUUUCCACUCUCUCCAAUAAUAUCAUACGUGUUUAUCCUAUUUGAUAAUCUCAAAUAAUUUAAUAUAAACAAACUUAUGUUGCGCAGAUAACUAACUUAAAUAGAAACUUAUAAUAUAUAUAAACAUUUAUCAUUUAAGUGUUUAUAUAUAAAUAAUUUAUGUAAUAAAAAAUAAAAUUAAGUAAAAUUAUUUUAAAAUAAUCUAUUUAAUAUAAAUUAUUUUCAUAUUCUAUUCUUAAAAGGUUAUAAAAAUAAAAUAAAAUAAAAUCAGUUAAUGAAAAUACAAUAAAUUAUUUUAGAAGUUCCGCCAAAUACUCUGCAGAGAUGUUACUCUUCCACUAACUAAACUAACAACUACUCCAAAGUUGAGGUCGAGUGAAUUAAAUGAGUAUUUUUGUGUUAGGGUUAAUAUUUCAAAAAAUAUAUUAAAAUAAAGUGGCGAAUAUAUAUAAAAUUUAAUUACUUGUAGUUGAGCAUCGUCAAGCGCAGAAGAUUGCUUCAUUUGAGGUUUAAUCCGAGUUAGCAAUGUUGGUGUUGCAUGCGAUAAAACAAUUACGGAGAACGUGAGAAUUAAGGUAAGAGUUUUCAUAAUUUUGCUAACCUUUUUUCUUUUCAUCAAAGAGAAGAAGGAACACCUAAUUGAUUUUAGACAUUGUUGGGUUAUAUUAUAACGUUAUAAAGGCCAAAGACAAUAUUUAAACUAAGACACCAUGAAAUACUAACAAAACAAAAUACUUUACUUUUUUAUUUAAUUGUAAUUUUAAUCCCUCUAUUUUUACUAAUUUACGAAAUUGGUUCUCCUAUUUUUAAAUCGACAGUUUUGCACUCUUUUUAUGAUUUUUAACUAAAAAAUGAUGACGUGUGAUGUUUUAAAUAACGUGACAUAUGAUAACAUGUCUACCAUGUGUUUUUAUUGGCCAGCCAAAAUCAAUCAAGAAAUCUACAAUUAUAAAAAGGAAAAAAAAGUGCAUAUGGAUAUAUAUAUAUAUAUAUAUAUAUAUAUAUAUAUAUAUAUAUAUAUAUAUUACAAAUUAUGCAUUUUCUUAAUAACUUUAACCUUUGAAUUUUCAUAUAAAUAGAAUACAACUCAAUAAAUUUGUUAAAUUUUAUUUUGUAUAUUUAAGAUGGUUUAUCCAAUAGUUUAAUCUACUAAAUUUUUAAUUUUAUUAUGCAUAUUAUAACUAAAUUAUAUAAUUUCCGAGUUAGACUUAAAAUGGAUUCAUUGCUCAACCGUUCAAUUCCCUCUUUCAGUUUGAUUUUCAUAUAUAUUAGUAUUAUAUGUCAUGAAAAAUAACUUUCUUUAGGUAAAAAAGUAGUUAAUUGAAGAAAAACAAAUUGUACAUCUUUGUAAACCUUAAGGGAUCCAUGGAAGAACAAAAAGGUGUUUAAUAUAAUAAUUCACUAUUCUUUUGCUUUUCUGAAAGAUCAUCUAUUAUUUGUUGAUUUGGCCCUUUCAUUCAAACUUAUUUCGGUAAGGGGAACACACACAUUACAAUAAUUUAUAUUUUAAUAUGAUUGAUUUAUAUAUUCAAAAGCAAAUUUAACAUAAAUUUUAGGAUUAAUUGCAAUUUCAGUUAUUUUAUUUUUAUAAUUCAUAUAAUUGACACUCUUAUUUUAAAAAAUUUAAUAGUUUUUAUCCUUCUUCUAUAUAUUUGAAUUAAAAAAAAUGAAGAUAUGAUAUAUUUUAAAUAAUGUAUUAUAUAAUCUCAUGAUGUAAAAACAUCGAAAUAUAUUAAUUAUUCAUAUGUUAUUAAUUAAACUAAAUCGUUUACCUGAUGCAAUGGUAUAAUAAUAUAAGAUUAAUAUUAUUUUAUUUUAAGGAAUAAAUGUUUUUUGGAAAUAAAAUUUAAUAAUUAGUUAAAAUAAUUUUUUAAUAUUAAAUUUUAAAAUAUGUGAAAAAUACUACGUCAAAAAAUUAACACUUUUAUUUCAUAUAUGCAGUGAGAUAUGCAUGAUCAACGUAAUAUAAAUUGUUAUAAAUUUUAAAAGCUUAAGUUCGUGUUUUUCUAAUUUUUGUCCCUGUAAAUUUUAUUUUUCAAUUUAAAAUAUGUAAAUUCAAUUUAGUUUUAAAAUUAUCAUCGUUGUUAGUUGUUGUUAAAAAAAAAAUUUAUGUAGCAAAUGGAGGUGUGGCGUGGUAGUAUCUGACACGACAAUAUUUGAUGAGGAUAAAAUCAUAAAUUCCUGAAUUUAAAUAACCUAAAAUUUGAAAUCCCUUUUUUCCUUCUUCUCUGUGGUGCAACCUAAAAUUCCAACUAUGCUUCUUCUUGGUUCCACUAUGGCGUCAUUUUUGUCUGCAACAAAUACAACUAAUUUCAAUUGUCUGAGUGUGGGUGUAGGAAAGCAAUGCGUAUAUAAUACAUCUCUAACACAAAUGAAAAUCCUAAAUGACGAUUUUGGAGAUGUCCUCGUUGGAAUGUGAAUAAUUUUUCUUAAAUAUGCGAUUUUUAUGUUUAUACUUUGUAAUUAUAGUUUACAUUUAAUAAAUCCCUUAAUCUAGUUUACAUUUCCUAAUCUCUAAAUCUAGUUUCUGAUUUUGGAUAGAAGGACUAAAAUAUAAUAUUUUUAACUUAAUUUAUUAUAUUUUUUAAUCAAUUUAAUUACUUAAUUGUAUUUUUUAAUAAUUUAAUUUUUUUCAUUCAAUUAUUAAUUAUUUAAUUAAUAAUAAUCAUCCAUGAAACAACAGCAUCACUCUUUUGUUUGUCACAGAAACUUUUUUUUUUAACAACAAUUAGCAAUAGAGAUAAUUUUAAAAUUAAAUUGAACUAACAUGGUUUAAAUUUAAAACAAAAUUAUAUAGACAAAUAUCAGAAAGACACGAACUUGCAUCCACGUUGUAGUUGAAGUUGAAUUUAAUGGCCAUAUACCAAGAGUUAUGCCAAUUGAAGGUAUGGUAACAAGCAUUAGAUUAAAUCCAUUUGAAAAAUAGUACUUUAGUUCUUAAAUUAAAAAAUAUCCAUCAAUUUAAUCAUUUUUUCAAAUGUUAGACUACAAUUUUAAUACAUUUAUGCUUGCUUGAUGUAGUAAAAGACUAUUGAAGUUAGUAUGUAUAACUUUUAUUAGUUUUGAUAUUCUUUUUUUUUUUUCAUCAAGAGUUUUUAUAUUCUUUAAUUUAGAUGACUAAUUUUCUAUUUUGAAAAUUUAUGGAUUAAAGUGACUGACAUCUAAACUAUUAAGGACUAAAAAUGAAUGUUUACUCCAUAAUUUAUUAAUGUUUCACCAAAGCUUGUGUUAUUUUUUAAUUUAAAAAUAUUUUAAAUUAAAAUCAAUUUAUGCCACUAAAAAUAUUACUGAAUUGAGUCACGCAUUGAAUCGUUCUCUUUAAGACGUUUUGCGACACUGUCUAAAUUGUGCAAGACAGACUACAAAACACAAAAUCUCCAAGAUAAAACAGUUCAUAUACAUUGUAUCAGAGUUCUACUGCACCAUAGAAAACUGUUUUAGAAUUACACCAUCAAUAUGACAAUCAGAUGGCUGCCACUCGUAAUAUGAUAUUGUGACCACUCGAAAGAAAGAGAAGAAGUGAGAAAGAAAGGGGGAGAUUCAGAGAAAAGUCCCAUAUGCAGAGGGCUUUUUGUGUGCUUGUCCAACUAAGGAGAACCCUCUAUUUAUAGAGGAAGUCUGCAACUGAAUCAGAGAAAAACAAGUGACCCAUCAGUCCCGAUUCACAAAACGUGCGCUCCAAUCUUCCCAAGGUUUUUUACCACAGAAACAUGCGCUCCAAACUUAACUACGUUUUUAACCGAGCAAUAAUCAGAUGCGUGAGUCCAAAGACUAUGGUUUGAUCGGGCAAUAAACAGAUGCACGAAUUCAGGAAGAAAGAUUGGAUCAGAUGUUGAAUGUUGACUCGAUGAAGAGAAAUUACAUAAUUAACAUAUGAGAGAUAAAAAUGCAAACAUUCAUUUAAUAUUGAAUAAAUAAAUAAUUUAUUAAUUUUUCAUAUACAAAAAAAAUAGGCACAAUUGCUCCUACGGUCCCUUAACUUAAUUUCAGAUAACACUUCAAUUAUUUAUCUUUUUUUUUCCCCGAUUUGGUUCUUUAUUUAAUUUUAUUACAAAAAUUGGAAAAUAUGAAUUUAUUUGAAGAUAUAAGUUAUACAUUUGAUGAAAUUUGCAUUAUAUUGAAGAUGCUAAUUAAUUUUAUGAGUAAUUUGUUUGAAAAUUUUGAUGAAAUUUUAUAAAAAAGAUAAGGAUAACAUUGUUAACAUUUUAAAAUAUAAAAGAUCAAAUUGUUUUCUUAAAAUUAAAUAAAUGAUCAAAUCGAAAAAAAGAAAGAAAAAAAGAUAAAGGAACAAUUAUACCCUAAAAAAUAAUACAUCACUUAGCUCGGGCCAAGCUCGGUUGACUGGACGGCAGCGGAACACCUCAAGUUCCAUACUUUCACCUUAUAAGCACUACUAGUAUGUGUUAUCCUUCUUAUGUGGAACUUCUUUAUUUUUCAAUUCACACCAACACCUACUUUCAUUAAUGUCAUGAUUAUUUCCGACAACCAUCUAUUAAUAUUACAACAUUUCUAACAGUUUGUUAUAUUAAAUAUUUUCUAGUUCUAAUCAAUUUAAAUUUGCGCGCAUUAAUUGUGUACGAGACUAAUGUAACUUUAUUUUAUUGGGCUUCUACUAUAUAUUUGUAAAUUGACAUAUUUUUAUCCUAUCAAAUUAAUUGAUCAAUAGUUGAAUGAUAUAGCUUCACCAAUCGACAAUAAUGAUUUAGUUAACCUUUAAUAUACAAUAUAUGAAUAUUGAGGUAGAUGAGUUAGUGAUAAACUAACUCAAUUAUCGGAUAAAAUUUUGAUAAUACCAAUAUUAUAUACUCUUUUUCUUCUUCAUAGUACACUAUAAGUUGUCUUAUUUUAUUAAAAAAGCGGAAACCCUACAUCUAUCAAUGUUGAUAUUGGUUUUUAAUAGAAAUCUCUCAAAAAAAACGUCAACAAAUAAAUAUUUAGUACGAAGUUUUGUCAAGUUAAAAAAUAAUCUUUAAUACAUAUGUAAAUAUUUCAAAGAUGGAAUAAGUUUGACAUCCAAAUUUGAUAUCAUUUUCAUAAAGAAACUAUUAUGUCAAAACAUAAAACAGUUAUUUAGAGUGUAACUAGAUAGCCUCCAUACAAUAGAGUAAGCUUAUCUUUAUUAGCAAAGGUUGAGACCAUAGCCAACAUCACCAUCAGGAAUUUUAUAACGACCACCAAAGUUAAAUAUGGUGCUAGGGUAGUUCUUAUGGUCAUCUAUGAUGAUAUAGUCUACCAUCCAACCAUCUGAACCUUUCCUAAAUAUAUUCAAUUUGCAGAUUUUGUCCAAACAACCUCCUUCAAACCGUAUAAUUGUUGUCAUGCACUGGUCGAACGAUGUAGAAUCAGUAUCAGGACCAUUCAUUUUCGGAGAAAAU